CCUACGGGCGGCAGCAGUGGGAAUAUUGGACAAUGGGCGAAAGCCUGAUCCAGCCAUGCCGCGUGUGUGAAGAAGGCCUUCGGGUUGUAAAGCACUUUCAGUGGGGAAGAAAGCCUUGGGGCUAAUACCCUCGAGGAAGGACAUCACCCACAGAAGAAGCACCGGCUAACUCCGUGCCAGCAGCCGCGGUAAUACGGAGGGUGCGAGCGUUAAUCGGAAUUACUGGGCGUAAAGCGCGCGUAGGCGGUCUGAUAAGCCGGUUGUGAAAGCCCCGGGCUCAACCUGGGAACGGCAUCCGGAACUGUCAGGCUAGAGUGCAGGAGAGGAAGGUAGAAUUCCCGGUGUAGCGGUGAAAUGCGUAGAGAUCGGGAGGAAUACCAGUGGCGAAGGCGGCCUUCUGGACUGACACUGACGCUGAGGUGCGAAAGCGUGGGUAGCAAACAGGAUUAGAUACCCGAGUAGUC
Molecule: ribosomal RNA, 464 nt
Filed under: Vreelandella stevensii
Lineage: Bacteria; Pseudomonadati; Pseudomonadota; Gammaproteobacteria; Oceanospirillales; Halomonadaceae
Description: partial 16S ribosomal RNA
Rfam family: Bacterial small subunit ribosomal RNA
Source: RNAcentral